GUGGGGAAUCUUAGACAAUGGGGGAAACCCUGAUCUAGCCAUGCCGCGUGAGCGAUGAAGGCCUUAGGGUUGUAAAGCUCUUUCAGCUGGGAAGAUAAUGACGGUACCAGCAGAAGAAGCCCCGGCUAACUCCGUGCCAGCAGCCGCGGUAAUACGGAGGGGGCUAGCGUUGUUCGGAAUUACUGGGCGUAAAGCGCACGUAGGCGGAUUGGAAAGUUGGGGGUGAAAUCCCGGGGCUCAACCCCGGAACUGCCUUCAAAACUCCCAGUCUUGAGGUCGAGAGAGGUGAGUGGAAUUCCGAGUGUAGAGGUGAAAUUCGUAGAUAUUCGGAGGAACACCAGUGGCGAAGGCGGCUCACUGGCUCGAUACUGACGCUGAGGUGCGAAAGCGUGGGGAGCAAACAGGAUUAGAAACCCGGGUAGUCC
RNAcentral lists this ribosomal RNA (425 nucleotides) under uncultured bacterium. RNAcentral describes it as "partial 16S ribosomal RNA". It matches the Rfam family "Bacterial small subunit ribosomal RNA", at positions 354 to 796 of the family's 1533-position model. The record is from RNAcentral.